UGAUGUCUACUUUUAAUUGUUUCAGGCAAAUGAGACAACCACAGAGGCCUAAUUGAAUAAAUGGGGGAUGCACAGAGGCUGUGGGCACCUCCCGUCCUGGAUCUUGGGAGAAUGAAGUUCCCUGGCCAGUUGUGAUCAGGGAGACAGAGGACCGGGAAAGACUGCAUGGGAAGAAGGAAGAAUCCACAGAUGAUAAGCCGGAGGGGAGCGAGUCAUGUAGACAAGCCUUGAGGUGGAAGGAAAAAGAUCCGCUGUGUUUGCUAGGAAGCUUCAACCUCACAAAGAUGGAAAGUGUCGUCCUCAGCGUCUUCACAGCCUGUCUUCUGUGCAGCGUAUCCAGCGCAUUGUUCCCUCAGGUAGACGCAUCUCUCUGCUCCGUGGCCCACGUGUUCUUCUGUCUGCUCCAAGGUUACGCUUCCCAUUCU
Long non-coding RNA from Talpa occidentalis (Iberian mole), 425 nucleotides. RefSeq lists it as uncharacterized. NCBI's taxonomy places the organism in Eukaryota, Metazoa, Chordata, Mammalia, Eulipotyphla, Talpidae. The transcript has 3 exons. The record is from RefSeq and is a predicted model, not a curated record.